GACGAACGCUGGCGGCGUGCUUAACACAUGCAAGUCGAACGGAAAGGCCCUGCUUUUGUGGGGUGCUCGAGUGGCGAACGGGUGAGUAACACGUGAGUAACCUGCCCUUGACUUUGGGAUAACUUCAGGAAACUGGGGCUAAUACCGGAUAGGAGCUCCUGCUGCAUGGUGGGGGUUGGAAAGUUUCGGCGGUUGGGGAUGGACUCGCGGCUUAUCAGCUUGUUGGUGGGGUAGUGGCUUACCAAGGCUUUGACGGGUAGCCGGCCUGAGAGGGUGACCGGCCACAUUGGGACUGAGAUACGGCCCAGACUCCUACGGGAGGCAGCAGUGGGGAAUAUUGCACAAUGGGCGGAAGCCUGAUGCAGCAACGCCGCGUGCGGGAUGACGGCCUUCGGGUUGUAAACCGCUUUCGCCUGUGACGAAGCGUGAGUGACGGUAAUGGGUAAAGAAGCGCCGGCUAACUACGUA
This 468-nucleotide ribosomal RNA is filed under the name uncultured bacterium. RNAcentral describes it as "partial 16S ribosomal RNA". It matches the Rfam family "Bacterial small subunit ribosomal RNA", at positions 28 to 507 of the family's 1533-position model. The record is from RNAcentral.